GGGCAUGUGAAUGUAGCGGAUAUCACAGGAGUGUGCGAUACUUCUGACCUGGGUUCAAAUCCCAGCAUGCCCGCCA
This 76-nucleotide transfer RNA is filed under the name Methanobacteriota archaeon. RNAcentral's name for it is "Euryarchaeota archaeon tRNA-Arg". It matches the Rfam family "tRNA". Rfam says of the family: Transfer RNA (tRNA) molecules are approximately 80 nucleotides in length. Their secondary structure includes four short double-helical elements and three loops (D, anti-codon, and T loops). The record is from RNAcentral. Lineage: Archaea; Methanobacteriati; Methanobacteriota.